ACUAUUAUCGUCAUUCAAAUAACAAAUAACAUAAUAUUGACAAGUUCACAACUUUAUCGAACAAUACACAACAUUCAAUGAGUUCUUUUUUAUGUAGCAUCAUUUUCAUCUUCGGUCCUAUGACUUUCAUCGUCGGCAAGUGGGGAAGGAGGAGGAGAACUGGGAAUAAGGAACUUAGCACCACAAGCAACAAGUUUGGCUAGCUGACCUUGAAGGAGAUCAAAUUGUUUGUCCCUCCUUUCUAGCUGACCUUGAAAGGUAGUCUUGGUCUCUUCAAGCUCUGAUGUCAGCUUUGUAAUAUUCUAUUCCAUAGACGAUAUAACCGAACUAUCAAUCGCCUCGCCUUGGGCGGAACUCCCUAUACCUUGCAAUCCAGCCUUGUAGCGCCGAAACAAUUUAUCUGAAAGACCGUAUGCUAUCCCCUUUUUAGGACCCCCGACUGUAUCCAACCAUAUCCUUUCUUGUUCUUCGUUUGAAAUGCCCAAAAGUGUGUAUAAAAAGUUGUAUAUAUCCAUUUCACAGUUUUUCAUAUCGAUCGAUUCAUAUAGUUGUAUUUUACAUAUAACAUAUGAAACAUUACAGUGGAUAAUGCGACAACUCUGUUGAAGAGUGAUUCAACACUUUACUGUGCAGUAAAUUGGGAAUGGAUAGUUUGGUUGAACUAG
RNAcentral lists this long non-coding RNA (665 nucleotides) under Nicotiana benthamiana. Its description in RNAcentral is "long non-coding RNA (NBEN_LNC024072)". Lineage: Eukaryota; Viridiplantae; Streptophyta; Magnoliopsida; Solanales; Solanaceae. The record is from RNAcentral.